Molecule: non-coding RNA, 23 nt
Filed under: Cricetulus griseus (Chinese hamster)
Lineage: Eukaryota; Metazoa; Chordata; Mammalia; Rodentia; Cricetidae
Source: RNAcentral
UGGCUCUGUGGGGAAUUUUAAUG